CCCUUAGAUGUUCUGGGCCGCACGCGCGCUACACUGAUGCAUUCAACGAGCCUAUCCUUGACCGACAGGUCCGGGUAAUCUUUGAAUCUGCAUCGUGACGGGGAUAGAUUAUUGCAAUUAUUAAUCUUCAACGAGGAAUGCCUAGUAGGCGCAAGUCAUCAGCUUGCGUCGAUUACGUCCCUGCCCUUUGUACACACCGCCCGCCGCUCCUACCGAUUGGGUGUGCUGGUGAAAUGUUCGGAUCGGCCGUUUGUCGCGGUUUCCGCGUCAUGUGGCUGAGAAGUUCAUUAAACCCUCCCACCUAGAGGAAGGAGAAGUCGUAACA
RNAcentral lists this ribosomal RNA (325 nucleotides) under uncultured eukaryote. Its description in RNAcentral is "partial 18S ribosomal RNA". It matches the Rfam family "Eukaryotic small subunit ribosomal RNA", at positions 1470 to 1796 of the family's 1831-position model. The record is from RNAcentral.